This 670-nucleotide ribosomal RNA is filed under the name bacterium S947. RNAcentral's name for it is "bacterial SSU rRNA". It matches the Rfam family "Bacterial small subunit ribosomal RNA", at positions 35 to 751 of the family's 1533-position model. The record is from RNAcentral.
GCUGGCGGCAGGCCUAACACAUGCAAGUCGAACGGAUCCUUCGGGAUUAGUGGCAGACGGGUGAGUAACGCGUGGGAAGCUACCUUGUGGUAGGGAACAACAGUUGGAAACGACUGCUAAUACCCUAUGAGCCCUAUGGGGGAAAGAUUUAUCGCCAUGAGAUGUGCCCGCGUUAGAUUAGCUAGUUGGUAAGGUAAUGGCUUACCAAGGCGACGAUCUAUAGCUGGUCUGAGAGGAUGAUCAGCCACACUGGGACUGAGACACGGCCCAGACUCCUACGGGAGGCAGCAGUGGGGAAUAUUGGACAAUGGGGGCAACCCUGAUCCAGCCAUGCCGCGUGAGUGAUGACGGCCUUAGGGUUGUAAAGCUCUUUCAGCAGUGAAGAUAAUGACAUUAACUGCAGAAGAAGCCCCGGCUAACUUCGUGCCAGCAGCCGCGGUAAUACGAAGGGGGCUAGCGUUGUUCGGAAUCACUGGGCGUAAAGCGUACGUAGGCGGACUGAUCAGUCAGGGGUGAAAUCCCGGGGCUCAACCCCGGAACUGCCUUUGAUACUGUCAGUCUUGAGAUCGAGAGAGGUGAGUGGAACUCCGAGUGUAGAGGUGAAAUUCGUAGAUAUUCGGAAGAACACCAGUGGCGAAGGCGGCUCACUGGCUCGAUACUGACGCUGAGG